GAACCUUACCUGGUCUUGACAUCCACAGAACUUUCCAGAGAUGGAUUGGUGCCUUCGGGAACUGUGAGACAGGUGCUGCAUGGCUGUCGUCAGCUCGUGUUGUGAAAUGUUGGGUUAAGUCCCGCAACGAGCGCAACCCUUAUCCUUUGUUGCCAGCGGUCCGGCCGGGAACUCAAAGGAGACUGCCAGUGAUAAACUGGAGGAAGGUGGGGAUGACGUCAAGUCAUCAUGGCCCUUACGACCAGGGCUACACACGUGCUACAAUGGCAUAUACAAAGAGAAGCGACCUCGCGAGAGCAAGCGGACCUCAUAAAGUAUGUCGUAGUCCGGAUUGGAGUCUGCAACUCGACUCCAUGAAGUCGGAAUCGCUAGUAAUCGUAGAUCAGAAUGCUACGGUGAAUACGUUCCCGGGCCUUGUACACACCGCCCGUCACACCAUGGGAGUGGGUUGCAAAAGAAGUAGGUAGCUUAACCUUCGGGAGGGCGCUUACCACUUUGUGAUUCAUGACUGGGGUGAAGUCGUAACAAGGUAACCGUAGGGGAACCUGCGGUUGGAUCACCUCCUUACCUUAAAGAA
This 577-nucleotide ribosomal RNA is filed under the name Klebsiella pneumoniae. RNAcentral's name for it is "bacterial SSU rRNA". It matches the Rfam family "Bacterial small subunit ribosomal RNA", at positions 966 to 1533 of the family's 1533-position model. The record is from RNAcentral. Lineage: Bacteria; Pseudomonadati; Pseudomonadota; Gammaproteobacteria; Enterobacterales; Enterobacteriaceae.